Long non-coding RNA from Leptopilina heterotoma, 391 nucleotides. RefSeq lists it as uncharacterized. The transcript has 3 exons. The record is from RefSeq and is a predicted model, not a curated record. NCBI's taxonomy places the organism in Eukaryota, Metazoa, Arthropoda, Insecta, Hymenoptera, Figitidae.
CAAGAAUGUGGGGAGAUAUAACAAUCCUAGUUUAACAAUAUCAGCCUUAUUACAGAACGUAAUUUCCUUCGAGUUAGGUAGCACGUACUGUUUAAGUGGAAAAAAUAAGGAGAAGUCAUUGUUUAAUAGGACAAACCUUUACUUAGUGGGUUCGAAAGCAGCAUUACUAUUGUUGCAAGAUUACAAUGUGUCAACAAACGAUAUUGAUCAUCAUAUUCGGAAUUGGCUGUCGAAUUGUAAACUUAGGCUUAACAGAAAACUCACUGCAGAAGCUGAACAAAUUCAACUAUGAAAAUAUUUGUAAAUUCGUGAAAAUAUGCUGGCCUUAAGCACUGUUUUUUUUAAAAAGAAAUCUAAUUUCUAAUUUCCUUCAAAAAGAAAGAAAUUUUUU